This 253-nucleotide ribosomal RNA is filed under the name uncultured bacterium. RNAcentral's name for it is "partial 16S ribosomal RNA". It matches the Rfam family "Bacterial small subunit ribosomal RNA", at positions 524 to 776 of the family's 1533-position model. The record is from RNAcentral.
UACGUAGGGUGCGAGCGUUGUCCGGAAUUACUGGGCGUAAAGAGCGUGUAGGCGGUCCGGUAAGUCCGCUGUGAAAGUCGGGGGCUCAACCCUCGAAUGCCGGUGGAUACUGUCGGGCUAGAGUGCGGAAGAGGCGAGUGGAAUUCCUGGUGUAGCGGUGAAAUGCGCAGAUAUCAGGAGGAACACCUAUUGCGAAGGCAGCUCGCUGGGACGUAACUGACGCUGAGACGCGAAAGCGUGGGGAGCAAACAGG